GACGAACGCUGGCGGCGUGCUUAACACAUGCAAGUCGAACGGUGAAGCCCAGCUUGCUGGGUGGAUCAGUGGCGAACGGGUGAGUAACACGUGAGUAACCUGCCUCUGACUCUGGGAUAAGCCUUGGAAACGGGGUCUAAUACUGGAUACGAGACGCUCGGGCAUCCGAAGUGUCUGGAAAGAUUUAUCGGUCAGAGAUGGACUCGCGGCCUAUCAGCUUGGUGGGGGGGUAAUGGCCUACCAAGGCGACGACGGGUAGCCGGCCUGAGAGGGCGACCGGCCACACUGGGACUGAGACACGGCCCAGACUCCUACGGGAGGCAGCAGUGGGGAAUAUUGCACAAUGGGCGCAAGCCUGAUGCAGCGACGCCGCGUGAGGGAUGACGGCCUUCGGGUUGUAAACCUCUUUCAGCAGGGAAGAAGCGAAAGUGACGGUACCUGCAGAAGAAGCGCCGGCUAACUACGUGCCAGCAGCCGCCGUAA
Molecule: ribosomal RNA, 483 nt
Filed under: uncultured bacterium
Lineage: Bacteria
Description: partial 16S ribosomal RNA
Rfam family: Bacterial small subunit ribosomal RNA
Source: RNAcentral